AUUGGAACUGGAGAAACUGUUAGUGAACAGCAUGGAUCCUGGCCAGACUGCGCGGAUGCGCAGGCUGGUCUGGAUCCAUGCUGGUCGCAUACCCACUAUGUUGGUUUUCCCAUGGCACGGUUUUAUUUUAAAAGCCUGUUUCUAAACCAGUAGCAGGCGUUUUGGUCACAGUUACAUAAUUUAACAUUUAACUUAUUAUAUAAUAAUAUUUGAUUAAUGAAUAGCAGCUAAGAUAUUUAUACUUGAGAUCAGAAUAUAAUGUAAAUCUUGGAUCAAAUGUGAAAAUAUAUGCUUUAAGAUCAAUCCUACACUUAUUGAUGUUUUUACAUAAUUUUUCAAUAAUAACAUCUUCACUAAUGACUACACAUGUACACGAGGAAGGAACGAUGAACAUUGAUAUGAUAUAAUCCAAAGAAGUUAUACAUGAAUAUUUUUAUUUUCAUUCAGUGCCUGAUGCGGGGCAUUUUACAUGAGUAAACAGAUUUUACUUACUUUAUGAGAUUGUAUUGUUUUAGAAGUAGCACUUUUUAUGCCCAUUUUGGAAAAAUACUUUUCAUGUUUUAUAAUGAAAUCUCAAUGUUGUUAUAUUUUCUGGUCCUUCGGGAUCAUUGAUUUCAACUCAUUUAGAUUUGAAGAUUGAAUACUGCUUAAACCGGUGCAAGGGGGCGUGGGCAGUGUUGCAUUUUCCAUUACUGCUCAUGAACAGGCUCAACCAAACAGAGUCUGCAAUUUUCACUGUUUGUCUUGUUCUUGGUGCUUCCGAGGGAUCUACUUUCCAGAUUUUAUUUAUAUUAUAGCAUUGUCGGUCUGUAAACCUUUUUAUUUCCAGACUACCUGUAUUUAGUCAGGAUGUAUCAUACAUUCAUUGCUAUGGCUUUCAUAUUUUAAGCAUUAGCUAACAACCACUAAGAAAAGUUCCCUAUUGACUAAGGAUCAAAUGUCAAGGUCACAGAGACCCAAUCUUUCUUGUUUGUUGAUGUUUUUCUAACAUAUUUUUUCUAUGUAAGUUAAAAAUAUAAUACUGAAAAAAUAUGAUAAAUUAAGUAUUUAUCAACAUUAGGAGCUUUGAAAAAAUGAGGAUAGAUAAUCUAGACAAGUCAUGUGAUUUUAUUUUUUCCCCAUAAGUUUGAAAUUGGCAUCUUUUCUAGCAUUUUUAUAAUAAGCUAAAAUUACUGCCUUGGCCUAUUCCACGUGCAAACAAGCAUGGUUGUUACGUGGCAUUUUUGUUAUAGCUGUAAUACAUAUUGCAUUUUGAUAAGACCAUUCUUUUUAUAUACUGUAACUAAUUAUUAAUGAUGCGCAACCAACCCACUUAGCUCAACAGGGAGAGUGCAGAUCUGCACAUCAUGGGAUUGCAAGUUUGAUCCAUUGAUUGAGACAUAUUCUUCAUGACAAAAGACAUUGUGUCUGAUAUCAGUUUGUCCUCCACCUCUGAUUCUUGAGGAGAAAUUGGCAGUUACUUGCUAGAUUAGUACUGAAAUAGAACCCAGGAACUCUGGUUAGGUUAACUGCCCGCUGUUACAUUACUAAAAUAUUGUUGAAAAAUGGUGCUAAACCAUAAAUAAACAAACAAACAAACAAAUUAAUGAUGUUUUUUGUUAAAUUGGUUGUAGUUUUUAUGCUUACUACUUUUUUAGGAUAAAAGGAAAUUUAGGACUUUCAUAAAUAUGUUUGUCAUAUUAUGUUGUUUGAAUAUAUUUCUGUAUAAUUGACUAGCGAAAUUCAGAUGAAAUAUACAGAAUUGUUCAGUAUUUUUAUCCUGCAGUCCCACACACAACCCUACUCCUCCUCACACUUGUAAAUCAAAUAAAUUGUUAGCUGCCCUGUCCCAGUCUGCUUGAGCAUGGGCAUAUUAUUCCCAGUUAUGCAGAGCUCUUGUUAUUGUUGUUAAUAUUGUCAUGUGUAGAUAAAUUAAAAAAAGUUUCUGUUUUAUAGAAAAAGCUUCAUUGUAUCUUGCAGAUGAUAAUGGUGUUUGGGAUUUAUUUUCUGGGUUUGUAUGGAGGGUUAGGGUUUUUUUAACUUUCUGGAUUACAGUAUAAUGUGACAUUAUUGGAACCAUUUUUUACCUAAAGGACAUGACAAAGUAUAUUUUAUAGAGUUCAUGUAUCAUGUAAAAUGCUGAAAGUGUCUUAAACAUUGUGAUAGAGAAAAACAAGUGUGACAACUCCUGCCUUAUCAAUAGACAUAUUUUAGUACAGUUAUUAUAGUGAUAGUACCUAGUAUAUAGUGAUAGUUUAUAGUUUAUUGUUGUUAACAUUUUGUCUUUUGGCAAGUAUGACACAAAUUUUUACCUGUUGAUUUAUUAACUUUGUUUUUUGCUGUAAAAUAACACACAAAUAUUGUAUAACAGUAAUAUUUUUACAGUUAAUGUGUUUAUGAUAGGACCAAAAUAUAUUUUCUGUAUUUGAAUAUUAGAAUCUAUAUAUACCAUCAGAUUAUGCAUGUUUACUGGUGUUAAGAAAAUACAGAUUCCAAAUUAGAAGAUGAAAAAUAAUAAAUCAACUCAACAUAUUUUAUUACUGUUCUGUUACCUAUAGUACUUAAUCUGACUGCCAUGUUUUUCUGCAUUUUUUUGUGUGUAAAAUAGCCUAAUGUUGAGGGUGUUAUAAAGUUUAUUAUGUGAGCUGUAUUGUACAAAAUCCAUGUUAUUUUAGUCAGUUAUACGUCCAUAUUAUAUAUGUGUUUUCUGAAAUUAUUCAAAAAAUUAUUCCAGUAUCGUAUUUCAUUGAUUUAUUUCAUUAUUUUUAUGCCUCAGUUCUAUCAUUUAUUCAUGUACAAGAUGGAAAGGUGUUAAUGUUCUCUAUAUAAAUGUAUGUUAAUUAACAUUCUGUCUUAGUCUAUUAAUUGGAUAUAUAAUAUACAUCAGGAACAUUGAACUAGCUUGAUUGCUGAAUGUCAUUGCUAACACCAGCUUCAUACUGUUAAAGGGUCAUGCAUCUUGAUGAACAUGAAAAUGUUGUUUAUGAUAUAGAUAUCAGGUACUCAAUUUUAAGUUGAUAUAAGAUACAACUGAAUUAGGUCUUUCUGAGGUCAUUUUUCUUCUGUUUGACUGCUACAGUAUACUUUAGAUAAAUACAAAUUAUAGACUGUAAAAUUUAGUGUUUUUGUGUCUCCCAAAAUUUGGGGGAUGGUGGGUGUCACUUGUCUUGUCUUGAUUUGAUCUUGUCUGUCCAUCUGUCUGUUUAAAAUCUCAAAAAGUAUUUGACCAUGUGAAGUUGUGUGCCUGAUGUUUUAAUUGGGAUUUCACACAGCCAAACCAGAGUUAUGGUCCUUGACUUAGUCAAAAACAUGUAUACAAUGACAGGAGUAGGGGCACCACUGUCCUAUGGACACACAUCUGAUUAUAGAUGCUUUAAAGCAUAGCUGUUGUGUAAUUAUGUCAGGUGCUUUCUUAGAGGGAAAAUGUUUUACCUAAGAGUGAUAUUAUGCAAUAUUUUUACCUUUUAUUGAUAUUGACAAAAUUAUGUGCCUCAUGCAUAUAUAUAGAUUACUAAUUAAGUUCUCAUGAAAAUUAGGGGAUUGUGUAAACUCUUUGUUAUAUUAAAUGGUAUAAAUCAUGUUACAGAUACAAAACAUUUACAGUGGAACCCCUCUAAACGGAACAGCUUCCGGGCCAGGGUAAAAGUUCUAUUUGGAGGCUUUUUGGUUCAGAGGGGUUUAGUCAGUGGAAUGUGUGGUACACUACAUAAAUAAAUACACAGUUUGCAAGAAACCAGAUUUAUUUCUAAUCCUCUUUGUGUUUAGUUACUAUAUAAAAACAACACCAUAAAAAGAUGAGAGGGAUAUAUGCUACCAAAUAGGGUAAAUUCUUGUAUUCAUAAUAAAAGACAUGACAAAAUUCUGAUUGCCUUUAGAAUUAUUCAGUUUUCAGCAGGACUUUUGUUGAUAAAGACAAGUUCAGUCUGCAAAAAUUGUUGUUUCCAAAUUUUUCAAGUGUAUUUUCCUAAUGAAAUAAGAAGACAGAUUUCAGGACCACAAAAUUUGUUCAGUUGUAGGGUUUUCGGUGUUCAGUGAUUCUAGUUUUGAGAAGUUCCACUGCACAUAGUUUAUGUCUUAUUGUCAAUCAUUCCUUACAGUUAAUAUUUGCACUACAUUAAAUACAAAGGUAGUGUUGUCUUUAAUCUAGUCAUGACUCUUUUUGGCUUGAUGUAGACUUAGUUUAUUUUUGUUUUGAUUGUACAAAAUUGUAGUAAUUUAACUUAGUUAUAACAAAAACACCAGUCGGGAUAAAACUCAAGUACAUUUAUACUUAAUUGUUUUCAUAGUAUGGAUGAAUUUCUUGACACUGUUUAAUUCUGAAAUGCCAUCCAUUUGUCUGGUGUUCAGUUAUGGUGAAGGGUAAACAUUUUGAACAUUAUACCUUUUUUUUAGAGCUUUAUUUUAUGGGUAUAUUAGACCUAAAUUUCAUAUUUCAAAAUGUGAACAAUUUCUGCAUAUAUUAUCAGCAAGUUUAUGUGUAUUAACAGUACUAUGUGUUUAAAAUAGUACACAGUACACAUGUAUAAAAUUGAACACAGUAUAAAUGUUACUGCAUGACUUUUAAAAGUAAAUAUCUAAAGAUUAAAUAUUUCAGUGAAAGAUGGACAGUGGAUAUUUUAAUGUUAAUUUUCAUUGAAAAGAUCAUGUACUUAAGGAGGUAGGUUACCUUGUUACCAGGUUAAAUUCAAAUUAGUUGAACCGCAGCAAUUUUUUGUAUUUUGUGUAAUAUGAUGUUUUAACAGCUACAAUCUCAAUUUCGUUUUUCUCUGGCCCUUCAAGUUCAAUUUUUAUCCAGGUUUAAAGAACAUGACCCUCCAAAGGUAUUUUAUAUUGAAAGAAGAAGGAAAAUACGGAUAUUUAACACUUUUCAGUGUAUUUUAGUUUCACUGAUAUCCGUAGAAGUCUGCAUAAUUGAUAAUUUUACUAGUAUGCGCGUUAGCUUUCUAAUAUAAGCUUAAAAAGUAUAUGUCGCGGGGCUCGUGUUUCCUUGGUAACGCAUUUUCGCUCAUUUUUAAACAACUAUGUAUAAAAACGGGGUUUUCGACGGCUUCAGUGCCAUUCUGUUAAUAACCAACAUGGAAUAUUUCGGUAAUAUUAUUAGCAAAAUACCAAGCACUUUACAUGGUACCCUAUUUUACUUAAAGUUUAAAGUAACCAUGGCAACAGAGAUGUUUAAAAUAGCUUAUAUCUUGCUUUUUGUCGCAAUUUCUUAUAAAAAAUAUUGAAUAAAAUUAUCUUUCUUGCUAAUGUAGCUUCAAAACAUAUUAUUUCAAACGUAAGUUAUAUUUUCAUGUUAUUUGUAUUUAUUCAAACAAAUUUCACAGCUUAAAAUACUUACAGCAGUACCCUUCGUCUUGCAUUUUUCAUGGAAAAAUCGUUCAGCAUGUGCUAUUAUUCUCAUGGAUGUUGUUGAAAUGAAAAUAAAAAGCCGAAGCUGUGUUCUUUAAAUAGACCAGUGUCAACGCUUUUGAAUUUUACAUUUAGAUAUAUAGGUCACGGGCUUCGUUUCCAAGGUAACAUCAAUUCAAUUCAAGAAAUCACAAUUUUCUACUGAAAGUUGAACAAUUUUAGAGCUUCGUUUUAGUAUAUAACUAACAAAUUAUCAACGAAAACUGAAAAAUAGGUAUUGCAAAUCAAACUGCAAGUUUUUUAUUUAAUGAUGGCCGUAACAAGUAAACUUUCACCCUAUUAUAUUCCAAAUAACAUCGGUUACCAUCAUCCAUUUUCUUACAUUCCGCAUAAAAUUUCAAUAUAACUACAUAGAAGAAGCAAAAUAUUGAUUGUUAUUCAGAGGAAAAGACUCAUAAAUAAUAUUUCAGCAAAUAAUAGCUGUUUGAAAAAAGUUCAAAUAAAGAAAAUGCACAGAAUUACGUACUUUCAAAAUAAAAGCUAUUAAUUUUGCGCGGUAACUGACACGUAACGUCAUGACGUCAAUGACGUCAUUUUAAUACAACAUUGUUUUGAAGCGUUUCUGCGGCAAUUUAUUCAUUAUUUCUGCAUUAUUAAACCAUAAAGCAUCAGAUCGGAGACAGGUUCAUGAUUUGUUUUCAGAAGAAUGGACAUAUAAACACAUUUAGUUUGUCGUAAACGUCGUCGUAAAUCGUCACGUUAGCUUCCGGUUGGACAUGCGCACUUACAAAUAUGAAGGUAACCUACCUCCUUAAGGAUGCUGUUGAAGUGUUUGCUGUAAAUGUGAAAUGUUUGUAUAGAAUUGGCAUUUCUAAUAUAUCUCUAGGUAUUUAAGUGAUUAUAACAUAAUAUUUCAAAGUUUAUGUUUAGUUUAAGUUUAUAUUAACUGACUGCUGUACAUUAUGAUAAUACUAUAAACAUGUAACAAGUGUUAGUCAGACUCAGCUUUAAGGGGUGUGCCUGCAGACUGGUGUAAAGGAUUGAUGUAACAAAGCAGGAAUUUGAAUAUAUUUUAUUUCACACAAGUAAAUUAUUGACUGGAAUGAUAUAGAUCUAUGUUCAGACUAUUCCAGUUAUUUUAAAAAGUAUGAUAUUGAUGUUAAUCUGGAAGCAAGUCCUUUUUACAUGUAACUAUUUUUAUUAUGUACACAAAUUAAAAAAUCUAUGUUAAUUGCAUGUUGAAGUUUUAGAUGUAUUUUAUAUUGUAAUAAAUGGAGGAAGUCUGA
This is a long non-coding RNA of Mercenaria mercenaria, 6614 nucleotides long. RefSeq lists it as uncharacterized. The transcript has 2 exons. NCBI's taxonomy places the organism in Eukaryota, Metazoa, Mollusca, Bivalvia, Venerida, Veneridae. The record is from RefSeq and is a predicted model, not a curated record.